Molecule: unclassified non-coding RNA, 395 nt
Filed under: soil metagenome
Description: partial contains 5.8S ribosomal RNA, internal transcribed spacer 2, and large subunit ribosomal RNA
Rfam family: 5.8S ribosomal RNA (bases 1-122)
Source: RNAcentral
GAUGAAGAACGUAGUGAAAUGCGAUACUUGGUGUGAAUUGCAGAAUCCCGUGAACCAUCGAGUCUUUGAACGCAAGUUGCGCCCGAAGCCAUCAGGUUGAGGGCACGUCUGCCUGGGCGUCACAUAUCGUUGCCCAAUGCCUAUUGCAGUGCAAUAGGAAUUUCUAGGGCGAAUGAUGGCUUCCCGUGAGCGUUGUUGCCUCGCGGUUGGUUGAAAAUCGAGUCCUUGGUAGGGUGUGCCAUGGUAGAUGGUGGUCGAGUUAAAACGAUACCGAUCAUGUGCAUGCUCCCCAAAAUAUGGCCUCUAUGACCCACACGCGUCUUUUGACGCUCAUGACGAGACCUCAGGUCAGGCGGGGCUACCCGCUGAAUUUAAGCAUAUCAAUAAGCGGAGGA